CUAAUAAUAUCCCACUCUUGUCGUGCCCAAAAUUCUCAACAAGACUAUUUGGAUGCCCAUAAUACAGCUCGUGCAGAUGUAGGCGUAGAACCUUUAACCUGGGACGACGAGGUAGCAGCUUAUGCAGAAAAUUAUGCUUCUCAAUUGGCUGCAGACUGCAACCUCGUACAUUCUCAUGGUCAAUACGGCGAAAACUUAGCUGAGGGAAGUGACGAUUUCAUGACGGCUGCUAAGGCCGUUGAGAUGUGGGUCGAUGAGAAGCAGUAUUAUGACCAU
RNAcentral lists this long non-coding RNA (276 nucleotides) under Nicotiana benthamiana. RNAcentral describes it as "long non-coding RNA (NBEN_LNC003419)". The record is from RNAcentral. Lineage: Eukaryota; Viridiplantae; Streptophyta; Magnoliopsida; Solanales; Solanaceae.